UAAGGAGUAUUGGACAAUGGAGGCAACUCUGAUCCAGCCAUGCCGCGUGAAGGAAUAAGGCCCUAUGGGUUGUAAACUUCUUUUAGACGGGACAAAACCCCUUUACGUGUAAAGGGUUGAUGGUACUGUCAGAAUAAGCAUCGGCUAACUUCGUGCCAGCAGCCGCGGUAAUACGAAGGAUGCACGCGUUAUCCGGAAUUAUUGGGUUUAAAGGGUGCGUAGGCGGACUAAUAAGACAGUGGUGAAAGCCUGCAGCUUAACUGCAGAAUUGCCAUUGAUACUGUUAGUCUUGAGUACAGUUGAGGUCGGCGGAAGGUGUCAUGUAGCGGUGAAAUGCUUAGAUAUGACACAGAACACCGAUUGCGAAGGCAGCUUGCUAAGCUGUAGCUGACGCUGAGGCACGAAAGCGUGGGGAGCAAACA
Molecule: ribosomal RNA, 422 nt
Filed under: uncultured bacterium
Lineage: Bacteria
Description: bacterial SSU rRNA
Rfam family: Bacterial small subunit ribosomal RNA
Source: RNAcentral